UGAAACACAACCGUGGGGCAACUUCCAGAGGGCAGUCCUGUGUACUGUGUCCUAGCUGUGCCCAGAGCUUCAGAGGGACCACAGGGCCACAGAAAGAAGGACAGAGCCUUAGGGAGGAGGGUGGCAGAAAGGGGAAAAACUUGGGGCCUCUCCUGCGGAGACAAUAAGUCAAGCAGAAACCAAGCUUUCCUGGUGCAUGGGGUGAGUGGGAGCCCCAGGGGGACUCCCCAGGGAGGCUGUGGUUUCUCAGAUCCCACAGAGUCAGCUUUGACCCGGAUCCAACAGCAUUUACAGGAAACCUGCACACGGGAAGGCCCUUGACCCAGAUGCCAGAGGUCUCUUCACCUUCUGGGCCCCUCAGCCAGGUGGAUACAGAUUUCUGAAAGCAUCUGAAAUAAACAGACUGUGUUUACCGUAGCCAUCAA
Molecule: long non-coding RNA, 425 nt
Filed under: Rattus norvegicus (Norway rat)
Lineage: Eukaryota; Metazoa; Chordata; Mammalia; Rodentia; Muridae
Description: long non-coding RNA NONRATT023938
Source: RNAcentral